AACGAACGCUGGCGGCAUGCCUAACACAUGCAAGUCGAACGAGACCUUCGGGUCUAGUGGCGCACGGGUGCGUAACGCGUGGGAACCUGCCCUUAGGUUCGGAAUAACUCCCCGAAAGGGGUGCUAAUACCGGAUAAUGUCUUCGGACCAAAGAUUUAUCGCCUUUGGAUGGGCCCGCGUUGGAUUAGCUAGUUGGUAGGGUAAAAGCCUACCAAGGCGACGAUCCAUAGCUGGCCUGAGAGGAUGAUCAGCCACACUGGGACUGAGACACGGCCCAGACUCCUACGGGAGGCAGCAGUGGGGAAUAUUGGACAAUGGGCGAAAGCCUGAUCCAGCAAUGCCGCGUGAGUGAUGAAGGCCUUAGGGUUGUAAAGCGCUUUUACCCGGGAUGAUAAUGACAGUACCGGGAGAAUAAGCGCCGGCUAACUCCGUG
This 433-nucleotide ribosomal RNA is filed under the name uncultured bacterium. Its description in RNAcentral is "partial 16S ribosomal RNA". It matches the Rfam family "Bacterial small subunit ribosomal RNA", at positions 29 to 507 of the family's 1533-position model. The record is from RNAcentral.